UACGUAGGGGGCAAGCGUUGUCCGGAUUUAUUGGGCGUAAAGAGCGUGUAGGCGGCCAUACAGGUCAGCUGUGAAAACUCGAGGCUCAACCUCGAGACGUCGGUUGAAACCGUAUGGCUAGAGUCCGGAAGAGGAGAGUGGAAUUCCCGGUGUAGCGGUGAAAUGCGCAGAUAUCAGGAGGAACACCAAUUGCGAAGGCAGCUCGCUGGGACGUUACUGACGCUGGAGACGCGAAAGCGUGGGGAGCAAACAGG
This 254-nucleotide ribosomal RNA is filed under the name uncultured bacterium. Its description in RNAcentral is "partial 16S ribosomal RNA". It matches the Rfam family "Bacterial small subunit ribosomal RNA", at positions 524 to 776 of the family's 1533-position model. The record is from RNAcentral.